This 434-nucleotide ribosomal RNA is filed under the name uncultured Lachnospiraceae bacterium. Its description in RNAcentral is "bacterial SSU rRNA". It matches the Rfam family "Bacterial small subunit ribosomal RNA", at positions 341 to 792 of the family's 1533-position model. The record is from RNAcentral. Lineage: Bacteria; Bacillati; Bacillota; Clostridia; Lachnospirales; Lachnospiraceae.
ACGGAAGGCAGCAGUGGGGAAUAUUGCACAAUGGGCGAAAGCCUGAUGCAGCGACGCCGCGUGAGUGAAGAAGUAUCUCGGUAUGUAAAGCUCUAUCAGCAGGGAAGAAAAUGACGGUACCUGACUAAGAAGCCCCGGCUAACUACGUGCCAGCAGCCGCGGUAAUACGUAGGGGGCAAGCGUUAUCCGGAUUUACUGGGUGUAAAGGGAGCGUAGACGGUUUGGCAAGUCUGAAGUGAAAUGCGGGGGCUCAACUCCUGAACUGCUUUGGAAACUGUCGAACUAGAGUGCAGGAGAGGUAAGUGGAAUUCCUAGUGUAGCGGUGAAAUGCGUAGAUAUUAGGAGGAACACCAGUGGCGAAGGCGGCUUACUGGACGGUAACUGACGUUGAGGCUCGAAAGCGUGGGGAGCAAACAGGAUUAGAUACCCUGGUA